RNAcentral lists this ribosomal RNA (292 nucleotides) under uncultured bacterium. RNAcentral's name for it is "partial 16S ribosomal RNA". It matches the Rfam family "Bacterial small subunit ribosomal RNA", at positions 505 to 796 of the family's 1533-position model. The record is from RNAcentral.
GUGUCAGCCGCCGCGGUAAUACGGAGGGAGCAAGCGUUACUCGGAAUUAUUGGGCGUAAAGGGCGCGUAGGCGAUUUGGCAAGUCUUGUGUGAAAGCCCACAGCUUAACUGUGGAAGUGCACAAGAUACUGCUGAAUUUGAGUUCAGGAGAGGAAGGCAGAAUUCCUGGUGUAGCGGUGAAAUGCGUAGAUAUCAGGAGGAAUACCAGUGGCGAAGGCGGCCUUCUGGACUGACACUGACGCUGAGGCGCGAAAGCUAGGGGAGCAAACGGGAUUAGAAACCCUCGUAGUCC